Molecule: ribosomal RNA, 253 nt
Filed under: uncultured bacterium
Lineage: Bacteria
Description: partial 16S ribosomal RNA
Rfam family: Bacterial small subunit ribosomal RNA
Source: RNAcentral
UACGUAGGUGGCAAGCGUUAUCCGGAAUUAUUGGGCGUAAAGCGCGCGCAGGCGGCCUUUUAAGUCUGAUGUGAAAGCCCACGGCUCAACCGUGGAAGGUCAUUGGAAACUGAAAGGCUUGAGUACAGAAGAGGAAAGCGGAAUUCCACGUGUAGCGGCGAAAUGCGUAGAGAUGUGGAGGAACACCAGUGGCGAAGGCGGCUUUCUGGUCUGUAACUGACGCUGAGGCGCGAAAGCGUGGGGAGCAAACAGG